GGCGCCCUUCUCGGACCGGACGCAGGGGCCGGCGACCACGCCCUGGGACCGAGAAGAGGGGUGCGGGACGCGCCCAGAUCCUCGGCCUUGGGGCUGCUCGGCACGCCUUGGCGCGAGUGCCACGUCGAGAGGCGUCGGCGGGGAGCGCGGAAGGGGACGCUGGCCCCCAGGCCCAGGUCAAGCGCCUUGGUUUGCCCACUAGGAUUGUUUUAAGAAAAUGGCAGACAAACCAGACAUGGGGGAAAUCGCCAGCUUCGAUAAGGCCAAGCUGAAGAAAACGGAGACGCAGGAGAAGAACACCCUGCCGACCAAAGAGACCAUUGAGCAGGAGAAGCGGAGUGAAAUUUCCUAAGAUCCUGGAGGAUUUCCUACCCCCGUCCUCUUCGAGACCCCAGUCGUGAUGUGGAGGAAGAGCCACCUGCAAGAUGGACACGAGCCACAAGCUGCACUGUGAACCUGGGCACUCCGCGCCGAUGCCACCGGCCUGUGGGUCUCUGAAGGGACCCCCCCCCAAUCGGACUGCCAAAUUCUCCGGUUUGCCCCGGGAUAUUAUAGAAAAUUAUUUGUAUGAAUAAUGAAAAUAAAACACACCUCGUGGC
RNAcentral lists this long non-coding RNA (599 nucleotides) under Homo sapiens (human). RNAcentral's name for it is "HSALNT0034924". The record is from RNAcentral. Lineage: Eukaryota; Metazoa; Chordata; Mammalia; Primates; Hominidae.